RNAcentral lists this ribosomal RNA (470 nucleotides) under uncultured soil bacterium. RNAcentral's name for it is "bacterial SSU rRNA". It matches the Rfam family "Bacterial small subunit ribosomal RNA", at positions 8 to 524 of the family's 1533-position model. The record is from RNAcentral.
AGAGUUUGAUCCUGGCUCAGAACGAACGCUGGCGGCAGGCCUAACACAUGCAAGUCGAACGCCGUAGCAAUACGGAGUGGCAGACGGGUGAGUAACGCGUGGGAACCUUCCCUAUGGUUCGGAAUAGCUCAGGGAAACCUGGGGUAAUACCGGAUAAGCCCUUCGGGGGAAAGAUUUAUCGCCAUUGGGUGGGCCCGCGUAGGAUUAGCUAGUUGGUGAGGUAACGGCUCACCAAGGCGACGAUCCUUAGCUGGUCUGAGAGGAUGAUCAGCCACACUGGGACUGAGACACGGCCCAGACUCCUACGGGAGGCAGCAGUGGGGAAUAUUGGACAAUGGGCGAAAGCCUGAUCCAGCCAUGCCGCGUGAGUGACGAAGGCCUUAGGGUUGUGAAGCUCUUUUGGCGGGGAAGAUAAUGACGGUACCCGCAGAAUAAGCUCCGGCUAACUUCGUGCCAGCAGCCGCGGUAAU